UCGAAAACAAAAGAAGUUGAAACAAGUUUAGAAAGCAUUACAAAGAAUCAAAAAAAGAAAUAAUCUAUGCAAGAGCCCAAGCAAAUAUUCAAGAGAAAAUAGACAGGAAAGACGAAAAGGAAGUGCACGAUGAACUUACAGAUUUGCAUUCCAGUAGUGACUUCCGAAAAAUCAGUAGUUACGACUGUCUUCUUGAAGAUAUGGCCGAACUAUAUAAAUCUAUACAGAUAUUAAUUCGACGACCAGGCUUUAGACAACAUAUAAAACCCGAUUUGCACAGAUUUGAGGAUAUAGAUAAACAGUUAGAUUUCAGAAAGAAGGAUCUUAUGAUGACGGAUUGUGCUAUUGUGGUAGCAGGAGAAACAAGCUCUGGAAAAUCAACCCUAAUAAAUCUAAUAAUCGGUGACGAUAUUUUGCCAUCUGAUAUCAACGCAACGACAACAAGAGUUUGUAGAAUAAGGUAUUCCGAAAAAAGAAAAGUAUCAACGCUUGAUAAAGACGAGAAAGUGUUAACACUGUCAGAAUUUAAUGAUGAAGAAGACAUGAGUGAAAUGCUCGAAGUAGUUGCUAAGACAUGUGACCAUCGAAUAGAAUAUAUAGAUAUUUGU
Long non-coding RNA from Saccostrea cuccullata (small rock oyster), 608 nucleotides. RefSeq lists it as uncharacterized. Lineage: Eukaryota; Metazoa; Mollusca; Bivalvia; Ostreida; Ostreidae. The transcript is spliced from 3 exons. The record is from RefSeq and is a predicted model, not a curated record.